This is a long non-coding RNA of Hordeum vulgare subsp. vulgare (domesticated barley), 263 nucleotides long. RefSeq lists it as uncharacterized. NCBI's taxonomy places the organism in Eukaryota, Viridiplantae, Streptophyta, Magnoliopsida, Poales, Poaceae. The record is from RefSeq and is a predicted model, not a curated record. The transcript has 3 exons.
AAGAUUUUGAUGAAUUUAGUGAUGUCGAGGAUCUCUAUAGCACAUUGCCUAUGGAGAAGGUUGAAGCACUCGAAGACAUGGUUUCACUUGCUCCUUCCAGUCUUAUCAAGGGUGUUGCUGCUGUUUCCACUACUGCAGUUUUGAGUACGAAGAAUCCGAAAGCAACUUCACCUACUCAGGCUACUGUAUCAACAAUCUCACAAGGUACAUCACAAGAUCAAGCAGAGGAAACAACUUCAAUAGAAAGCAAUCCUGAACCGGUG